UGAAGAUGAAAGUGAAGAGUUUCCAGACAAGCUUAGCUGGAGUGCAUUCCACUUCUCUGAAGUUUAAGAAUGGCAAAGAAAAUAGUGAGACAGAUGAAAGGAAUGCAGAAAUGGUACCACAAAGACAAAUGCUCCUAGAAGCCAAACAGAACAGGCAAGGAAGAGGAAUUCAGACUCUUGGGGGGUCUUCUUGCUUCAC
Molecule: long non-coding RNA, 199 nt
Filed under: Cercocebus atys (sooty mangabey)
Lineage: Eukaryota; Metazoa; Chordata; Mammalia; Primates; Cercopithecidae
Description: lncRNA (ENSCATG00000045705.1)
Source: RNAcentral